GACGAACGCUGGCGGCGUGCUUAACACAUGCAAGUCGUACGGUAAGGCCCUUUCGGGGGUACACGAGUGGCGAACGGGUGAGUAACACGUGAGUAACCUGCCUACAACUUUGGGAUAACGCUAGGAAACUGGUGCUAAUACUGGAUAUGUGCUCCUGCUGCAUGGUGGGGGUUGGGAAGCUCCGGCGGUUGUGGAUGGACUCGCGGCCUAUCAGCUUGUUGGUGGGGUAGUGGCCUACCAAGGCGGCGACGGGUAGCCGGCCUGAGAGGGUGACCGGCCACAUUGGGACUGAGAUACGGCCCAGACUCCUACGGGAGGCAGCAGUGGGGAAUAUUGCACAAUGGGCGCAAGCCUGAUGCAGCAACGCCGCGUGCGGGAUGACGGCCUUCGGGUUGUAAACCGCUUUCAGCAGGGACGAAGCUUUUUGUGACGGUACCUGCAGAAGAAGCACCGGCUAACUACGUG
RNAcentral lists this ribosomal RNA (465 nucleotides) under uncultured bacterium. Its description in RNAcentral is "partial 16S ribosomal RNA". It matches the Rfam family "Bacterial small subunit ribosomal RNA", at positions 28 to 507 of the family's 1533-position model. The record is from RNAcentral.